This 714-nucleotide ribosomal RNA is filed under the name uncultured planctomycete Sva0800. RNAcentral's name for it is "bacterial SSU rRNA". It matches the Rfam family "Bacterial small subunit ribosomal RNA", at positions 88 to 811 of the family's 1533-position model. The record is from RNAcentral. Lineage: Bacteria; Pseudomonadati; Planctomycetota; Planctomycetia; Planctomycetales.
AUGGAAAGCGGCGUAAGGGAGGGUAACGCGUGGAUUAUCUACCCUGGGGUCCGGAAUAGCUGUGGGAAACUGCAGGUAAUGCCGGAUAACAUCUUCGGAUCAAAGGUGUGAUUCCGCCCUUGGAGGAGUCCGCGUCCUACUAGCUUGUUGGUGAGGUAAUGGCUCACCAAGGCUUCGAUGGGUACCGGGUGUGAGAGCAUGGCCCGGCUCACUGGGACUGAGACACUGCCCAGACACCUACGGGUGGCUGCAGUCGAGAAUCUUCGGCAAUGGGCGCAAGCCUGACCGAGCGACGCCGCGUGCGGGAUGAAGGCCUUCGGGUUGUAAACCGCUGUCAGAGGGGAUGAAAUGCUAGAGGGUACUCUCUCUAGUUUGACAUAGCCUCAGAGGAAGGGCGGGCUAAGUUCGUGCCAGCAGCCGCGGUAAGACGAACCGCCCAAACGUUAUUCGGAAUCACUGGGCUUAAAGGGUGCGUAGGCGGCGCGACAAGUUGGGUGUGAAAUCCCUCGGCUCAACCGAGGAACUGCGCCCAAAACUGUCGUGCUCGAGGGAGAUAGAGGUAAGCGGAACUGAUGGUGGAGCGGUGAAAUGCGUUGAUAUUAUCAGGAACACCGGUGGCGAAAGCGGCUUACUGGAUCUCUUCUGACGCUGAGGCACGAAAGCUAGGGGAGCGAACGGGAUUAGAUACCCCGGUAGUCCUAGCUGUAAACGAUG